Molecule: transfer RNA, 74 nt
Organism: Galdieria sulphuraria
Lineage: Eukaryota; Rhodophyta; Bangiophyceae; Galdieriales; Galdieriaceae
Rfam family: tRNA
About the family: Transfer RNA (tRNA) molecules are approximately 80 nucleotides in length. Their secondary structure includes four short double-helical elements and three loops (D, anti-codon, and T loops). Further hydrogen bonds mediate the characteristic L-shaped molecular structure. tRNAs have two regions of fundamental functional importance: the anti-codon, which is responsible for specific mRNA codon recognition, and the 3' end, to which the tRNAs corresponding amino acid is attached (by aminoacyl-tRNA synthetases). tRNAs cope with the degeneracy of the genetic code in two manners: having more than one tRNA (with a specific anti-codon) for a particular amino acid; and 'wobble' base-pairing, i.e. permitting non-standard base-pairing at the 3rd anti-codon position.
Source: Rfam
GGUCGAUUAGCUCAAGUGGUUAGAGCGCCGUGCUAAUAACGCGGAGGUUCUGAGUUCAAGCCUCAGAUCGACCA